This 2892-nucleotide ribosomal RNA is filed under the name Enterobacter cloacae. Its description in RNAcentral is "bacterial LSU rRNA". It matches the Rfam family "Bacterial large subunit ribosomal RNA". Lineage: Bacteria; Pseudomonadati; Pseudomonadota; Gammaproteobacteria; Enterobacterales; Enterobacteriaceae. The record is from RNAcentral.
ACUAAGCGUACACGGUGGAUGCCCUGGCAGUCAGAGGCGAUGAAGGACGUGCUAAUCUGCGAAAAGCGCCGGCGAGGUGAUAUGAACCUUUGACCCGGCGAUGUCCGAAUGGGGAAACCCAGUGUGAUUCGUCACACUAUCGUUAACUGAAUACAUAGGUUAACGAGGCGAACCGGGGGAACUGAAACAUCUAAGUACCCCGAGGAAAAGAAAUCAACCGAGAUUCCCCCAGUAGCGGCGAGCGAACGGGGAGCAGCCCAGAGUCUGAAUCAGCUUGUGUGUUAGUGGAACGGUCUGGAAAGUCCGACGGUACAGGGUGAUAGUCCCGUACACGAAAAUGCACAGGUUGUGAACUCGAAGAGUAGGGCGGGACACGUGGUAUCCUGUCUGAAUAUGGGGGGACCAUCCUCCAAGGCUAAAUACUCCUGACUGACCGAUAGUGAACCAGUACCGUGAGGGAAAGGCGAAAAGAACCCCGGCGAGGGGAGUGAAAAAGAACCUGAAACCGUGUACGUACAAGCAGUGGGAGCACCUUCGGGUGUGACUGCGUACCUUUUGUAUAAUGGGUCAGCGACUUAUAUUCUGUAGCAAGGUUAACCGUAUAGGGGAGCCGAAGGGAAACCGAGUCUUAACUGGGCGUUAAGUUGCAGGGUAUAGACCCGAAACCCGGUGAUCUAGCCAUGGGCAGGUUGAAGGUUGGGUAACACUAACUGGAGGACCGAACCGACUAAUGUUGAAAAAUUAGCGGAUGACUUGUGGCUGGGGGUGAAAGGCCAAUCAAACCGGGAGAUAGCUGGUUCUCCCCGAAAGCUAUUUAGGUAGCGCCUCGUGAACUCAUCUUCGGGGUAGAGCACUGUUUCGGCUAGGGGGCCAUCCCGGCUUACCAACCCGAUGCAAACUACGAAUACCGAAGAAUGUUAUCACGGGAGACACACGGCGGGUGCUAACGUCCGUCGUGAAGAGGGAAACAACCCAGACCGCCAGCUAAGGUCCCAAAGUCAUGGUUAAGUGGGAAACGAUGUGGGAAGGCCCAGACAGCCAGGAUGUUGGCUUAGAAGCAGCCAUCAUUUAAAGAAAGCGUAAUAGCUCACUGGUCGAGUCGGCCUGCGCGGAAGAUGUAACGGGGCUAAACCAUGCACCGAAGCUGCGGCAGCGACACUAUGUGUUGUUGGGUAGGGGAGCGUUCUGUAAGCCGUUGAAGGUGGCCUGUGAGGGUUGCUGGAGGUAUCAGAAGUGCGAAUGCUGACAUAAGUAACGAUAAAGCGGGUGAAAAGCCCGCUCGCCGGAAGACCAAGGGUUCCUGUCCAACGUUAAUCGGGGCAGGGUGAGUCGACCCCUAAGGCGAGGCCGAAAGGCGUAGUCGAUGGGAAACAGGUUAAUAUUCCUGUACUUGGUGUUACUGCGAAGGGGGGACGGAGAAGGCUAUGUUAGCCGGGCGACGGUUGUCCCGGUUUAAGCAUGUAGGCGGAACGAUUAGGUAAAUCCGGUCGUUUUUUAACGCUGAGGUGUGAUGACGAGGCACUACGGUGCUGAAGUAACAAAUGCCCUGCUUCCAGGAAAAGCCUCUAAGCAUCAGGUAACAUCAAAUCGUACCCCAAACCGACACAGGUGGUCAGGUAGAGAAUACCAAGGCGCUUGAGAGAACUCGGGUGAAGGAACUAGGCAAAAUGGUGCCGUAACUUCGGGAGAAGGCACGCUGAUAUGUAGGUGAAGCCCCUGCGGGUGGAGCUGAAAUCAGUCGAAGAUACCAGCUGGCUGCAACUGUUUAUUAAAAACACAGCACUGUGCAAACACGAAAGUGGACGUAUACGGUGUGACGCCUGCCCGGUGCCGGAAGGUUAAUUGAUGGGGUUAGCGGUAACGCGAAGCUCUUGAUCGAAGCCCCGGUAAACGGCGGCCGUAACUAUAACGGUCCUAAGGUAGCGAAAUUCCUUGUCGGGUAAGUUCCGACCUGCACGAAUGGCGUAAUGAUGGCCAGGCUGUCUCCACCCGAGACUCAGUGAAAUUGAACUCGCUGUGAAGAUGCAGUGUACCCGCGGCAAGACGGAAAGACCCCGUGAACCUUUACUAUAGCUUGACACUGAACACUGGUCCUUGAUGUGUAGGAUAGGUGGGAGGCUUUGAAGUGUGGACGCCAGUCUGCAUGGAGCCGUCCUUGAAAUACCACCCUUUAAUGGCUGGUGUUCUAACGUAGACCCGUAAUCCGGGUUGCGGACAGUGUCUGGUGGGUAGUUUGACUGGGGCGGUCUCCUCCCAAAGAGUAACGGAGGAGCACGAAGGUUAGCUAAUCCUGGUCGGACAUCAGGAGGUUAGUGCAAUGGCAUAAGCUAGCUUGACUGCGAGAGUGACGGCUCGAGCAGGUGCGAAAGCAGGUCAUAGUGAUCCGGUGGUUCUGAAUGGAAGGGCCAUCGCUCAACGGAUAAAAGGUACUCCGGGGAUAACAGGCUGAUACCGCCCAAGAGUUCAUAUCGACGGCGGUGUUUGGCACCUCGAUGUCGGCUCAUCACAUCCUGGGGCUGAAGUAGGUCCCAAGGGUAUGGCUGUUCGCCAUUUAAAGUGGUACGCGAGCUGGGUUUAGAACGUCGUGAGACAGUUCGGUCCCUAUCUGCCGUGGGCGCUGGAGAAUUGAGGGGGGCUGCUCCUAGUACGAGAGGACCGGAGUGGACGCAUCACUGGUGUUCGGGUUGUCAUGCCAAUGGCACUGCCCGGUAGCUAAAUGCGGAAGAGAUAAGUGCUGAAAGCAUCUAAGCACGAAACUUGCCCCGAGAUGAGUUCUCCCUGAGCCUUUAAGGCUCCUGAAGGAACGUUGAAGACGACGACGUUGAUAGGUCGGGUGUGUAAGCGCAGCGAUGCGUUGAGCUAACCGAUACUAAUGAACCGUGAGGCUUAACC